RNAcentral lists this ribosomal RNA (253 nucleotides) under uncultured bacterium. Its description in RNAcentral is "partial 16S ribosomal RNA". It matches the Rfam family "Bacterial small subunit ribosomal RNA", at positions 524 to 776 of the family's 1533-position model. The record is from RNAcentral.
UACGUAGGGUGCAAGCGUUGUCCGGAUUUAUUGGGCGUAAAGAGCUCGUAGGCGGUCUGUCGCGUCGGAUGUGAAAACCCAGGGCUCAACCCUGGGCCUGCAUUCGAUACGGGCAGACUAGAGUACGGCAGGGGAGACUGGAAUUCCUGGUGUAGCGGCGAAAUGCGCAGAUAUCAGGAGGAACACCGGUGGCGAAGGCGGGUCUCUGGGCCGUAACUGACGCUGAGGAGCGAAAGCGUGGGGAGCGAACAGG